UGGGGAAUAUUGCACAAUGGGCGAAAGCCUGAUGCAGCCAUGCCGCGUGUAUGAAGAAGGCCUUCGGUUUGUAAAGUACUUUCAGUCGGGAGGAAGGUGGUAAGGUUAAUAACCUUAUCAAUUGACGUUACCGACAGAAGAAGCACCGGCUAACUCCGUGCCAGCAGCCGCGGUAAUACGGCGGGUGCAAGCGUUAAUCGGAAUUACUGGGCGUAAAGCGCACGCAGGCGGUUGAUUGAGUCAGAAGUGAAAUCCCCGGGCUUAACCCGGGAAUUGCAUCUGAUACUGUUCAGCUAGAGUCUUGUAGAGGGGGGUAGAAUUCCAUGUGUAGCGGUGAAAUGCGUAGAGAUGUGGAGGAAUACCGGUGGCGAAGGCGGCCCCCUGGACAAAGACUGACGCUCAGGUGCGAAAGCGUGGGGAGCAAACAGG
RNAcentral lists this ribosomal RNA (429 nucleotides) under Chloroflexota bacterium. RNAcentral's name for it is "Chloroflexi bacterium partial 16S ribosomal RNA". It matches the Rfam family "Bacterial small subunit ribosomal RNA", at positions 355 to 776 of the family's 1533-position model. Lineage: Bacteria; Bacillati; Chloroflexota. The record is from RNAcentral.